RNAcentral lists this ribosomal RNA (483 nucleotides) under uncultured bacterium. RNAcentral describes it as "partial 16S ribosomal RNA". It matches the Rfam family "Bacterial small subunit ribosomal RNA", at positions 28 to 523 of the family's 1533-position model. The record is from RNAcentral.
GACGAACGCUGGCGGCGUGCUUAACACAUGCAAGUCGAACGAUGAAGCCGGAGCUUGCUCCGGUGGAUUAGUGGCGAACGGGUGAGUAACACGUGGGCAAUCUGCCCUUGACUCUGGGAUAACUGCGGGACACUGUAGCUAAUACCGGAUACGACACCUUGGGGCAUCCCAGGGUGUGGAAAGAAUUUCGGUCAAGGAUGAGCUCGCGGCCUAUCAGCUAGUUGGUGAGGUAAUGGCUCACCAAGGCGACGACGGGUAGCCGGCCUGAGAGGGUGACCGGCCACACUGGAACUGAUACACGGUCCAGACUCCUACGGGAGGCAGCAGUGGGGAAUAUUGCACAAUGGGCGAAAGCCUGAUGCAGCAACGCCGCGUGAGGGAUGAAGGCCUUCGGGUUGUAAACCUCUUUUAGCAGGGAAGAAGCGAAAGUGACGGUACCUGCAGAAAAAGCACCGGCUAACUACGUGCCAGCCGCCGCAGUAA